AAAGUCGUAACAAGGUUUCCGUAGGUGAACCUGCGGAAGGAUCAUUAAUGAAUUACAAGUCGGUUGUUCUGUGCUGGUGGCAACACAUGUGCACGUCAACCGCAAAUCCACACACCUGUGCACUUUUGACUUUGGCCUCCGCUGGUUUCUUGAAACUUGCAGUCGAUCGACUAUGGUCGAUCUGGAAGCCAGAGUACAUUUUACACUCUGAAUGUAAUGGAAUGUAUCUGUGUAUAACACACAAAUAAACAACUUUCAACAACGGAUCUCUUGGCUCUC
This 279-nucleotide unclassified non-coding RNA is filed under the name Basidiomycota sp. RNAcentral describes it as "partial contains small subunit ribosomal RNA, internal transcribed spacer 1, and 5.8S ribosomal RNA". The stretch from base 1 to 47 matches the Rfam family "Eukaryotic small subunit ribosomal RNA", at positions 1785 to 1831 of the family's 1831-position model. Lineage: Eukaryota; Fungi; Basidiomycota. The record is from RNAcentral.